UAGAUGGAGAAAACAGAACCUGAAGACACCCGUUUCCCUAAACUGCUCUCGCUCAUGUCUUCAUCAUUGCAUUACCACCACCCAACACUAUCGGGGGACCUGCCCUGAUAAUCAGUUCCUCCCACUGAAGAAUCGGAGUAUAUUUCUCCAGUCCCUAAUGUUGGGUUUAGUCAUGUGUCUAGCUUUGGCCACUGGAAUAUUAAUCUGUAUGACCAAAAACUUGGAAAGUGUGAAUUCAUUUCUGCUCACUCACUCCUGCUAUCACCAUGAGAACAAGCCCAGGCCAGACUGCUGCUUCCAGCAGAAGAGACAGCAAGAGCAACGUCGAGCUUCCCAGACAUGCUCAUGCUAGAUUGACCAAUCCUCAGCUGACCCAUAGAUCCAUGAAAAUAAACUCUACAGGUGUAUCCAGCAGCUCCAGAGAGACAGCGACCAGCGAGAAGGGGCCAUGAUGAUGGAGGUGGUUUUGUCAAAACGAAAAUGGGGAUAUGUAGGGAAAAGAAAGAGAGAUCAGACUGUUACUGUGUCUACAUAGAAAGGGAAGACAUAAGAGACUCCUAAAACCAACACAAAACAGAUGAAAGAAGUAACCAUCGGUAGUCCUGACAUCAACAUGAGCUUCAACCAUCGUUGAACAUUUUUCAACCAUGGAACAUAUUUUGUCACAGGUAAGAGGUGGAGAGAAACAUAAAUCUGGCUUACAUGCACGUCCAGUCAUAGUACCUUCCCUUGAACUUCAUUAUGACAUAGAUUCUAUUGCUCACAUGUUUGUUGCUG
This 777-nucleotide long non-coding RNA is filed under the name Homo sapiens (human). RNAcentral's name for it is "non-protein coding lnc-ZNF705D-2:59". Lineage: Eukaryota; Metazoa; Chordata; Mammalia; Primates; Hominidae. The record is from RNAcentral.